This 67-nucleotide transfer RNA is filed under the name Marmota monax (woodchuck). RNAcentral describes it as "tRNA.Ala". The record is from RNAcentral. Lineage: Eukaryota; Metazoa; Chordata; Mammalia; Rodentia; Sciuridae.
GGUUGUAGCUCAGCGAUAGAGUGCUCGCCUAGCAUGGGCAAGGCCCUGGGUUCAAUCCUCAGCACCA